AGAACGAACGCUGGCGGCAGGCUUAACACAUGCAAGUCGAACGCCCCGCAAGGGGAGUGGCAGACGGGUGAGUAACGCGUGGGAACCUACCCUUCGGUACGGAAUAACUCGGGGAAACUCGUGCUAAUACCGUAUAUCCCGGUAACGGGAAAGAUUUAUCGCCGAAGGACGGGCCCGCGUCAGAUUAGCUAGUUGGUGGGUAACGGCCUACCAAGGCUACGAUCUGUAGCUGGUCUGAGAGGAUGAUCAGCCACACUGGGACUGAGACACGGCCCAGACUCCUACGGGAGGCAGCAGUGGGGAAUCUUGGACAAUGGGCGCAAGCCUGAUCCAGCCAUGCCGCGUGAGUGAUGAAGGCCUUAGGGUUGUAAAGCUCUUUCACCCACGACGAUGAUGACGGUAGUGGGAGAAGAAGCCCCGGCUAACUUCGCGCCAGCAGCCGC
This 443-nucleotide ribosomal RNA is filed under the name uncultured bacterium. Its description in RNAcentral is "SSU rRNA". It matches the Rfam family "Bacterial small subunit ribosomal RNA", at positions 26 to 518 of the family's 1533-position model. The record is from RNAcentral.